GCGGUGGAGCAUGUGGUUAAUUCGAAGCAACGCGAAGAACCUUACCAGGCCUUGACAUGCAGAGAACUUUCCAGAGAUGGAUUGGUGCCUUCGGGAACUCUGACACAGGUGCUGCAUGGCUGUCGUCAGCUCGUGUCGUGAGAUGUUGGGUUAAGUCCGUAACGAGCGCAACCCUUGUCCUUAGUUACCAGCACGUUAUGGUGGGCACUCUAAGGAGACUGCCGGUGACAAACCGGAGGAAGGUGGGGAUGACGUCAUGUCAUCAUGGCCCUUACGGCCUGGGCUACACACGUGCUACAAUGGUCGGUACAAAGGGUUGCCAAGCCGCGAGGUGGAGCUAAUCCCAUAAAACCGAUCGUAGUCCGGAUCGCAGUCUGCAACUCGACUGCGUGAAGUCGGAAUCGCUAGUAAUCGUGAAUCAGAAUGUCACGGUGAAUACGUUCCCGGGCCUU
Molecule: ribosomal RNA, 452 nt
Filed under: uncultured Pseudomonas sp.
Lineage: Bacteria; Pseudomonadati; Pseudomonadota; Gammaproteobacteria; Pseudomonadales; Pseudomonadaceae
Description: bacterial SSU rRNA
Rfam family: Bacterial small subunit ribosomal RNA
Source: RNAcentral